GGGGGUUUGAAAGUGUUUGAGAAUGCAAUGACGAAUUUAAAAAUAAAAAUUAAACACAACCGAAUUUAAUCUAAAACAUUAAAAGGCAUGAAAAUAUUAAAUUGAACAAUGCAACUAAAUAUCUCAACACAAUUAAAACUAAUAAAAUGCUACACUAAAUUAAAAAGAGAUGAAAAUCAAUUAAACAUGUAAAAUAUUCUACCAUUUCAUGUGACCAAGUGCUUUUACCAAAAGAGAAUUAAAUUUGCAAAGUUCCUAAAAAUUAGGCCUUGACCGAAACCUCCUAUUUGUUGGGCUUCCACGUGUUGGCUUCAAAGAAAAAUGAAAAUUGGGAAAGGGUUUCUCAUCCAGCCGUGACCUUAUCUUCAAUUGGGAAUAGGAAUUCAUUACUCCAUAUACUAACACGUCUCUGCAUCCACUUCACCAAGGUUAAUUUAAAAUGUUUCCUAUUUUAGGACAAUGCUCCACGCCCAUGUACACCAUGCUGGAUGGUAAUAUUAACCCAAAUCUUCAAUCACCAGACCCCACCACUUUGCUAAAUAAAUUUAGAUGCAAAGCUACUGCACCUACGUUUCCCAUCUCAUCCUGAGACAUUAAAGAAAGAAAAUCAGUCUUGCUCUCCUAUGCUAGAUGCGUUUUCAUUAAAUAAUGGACUCAAUAGAAAAAUUGUUCCAGCCAUGGCCAUAUAAUUCGGUCAGCAACGUCCCAUCAUUCAUGUGCCUCCAAGAAUAUUCAUGCUAAAAUUAAAUGCCUCCCCUGCACCGUACAGCAACCUACCCACCGGACCCCACCAUUUCAUUCAAUGUAAUAAGAAAAAGUUGAGAUAGGCAUCUGCACAGUGAAGAUAGAAGAAACCUUGCCUUUAAACCAAAAGAAAUUGAAAGUAAUCCACCCAAAAUGAAAUGACUGUGCCUCUUGAUGUGACCAUGGUUUUACUUUCUUUUAAAUCCCAAGAGAAUCAAGUGCUUCAAGGCAAGAGAAAUGUGUCCAG
RNAcentral lists this long non-coding RNA (991 nucleotides) under Vigna radiata. RNAcentral describes it as "long non-coding RNA (VRAD_LNC013802)". The record is from RNAcentral. Lineage: Eukaryota; Viridiplantae; Streptophyta; Magnoliopsida; Fabales; Fabaceae.